AUUUAUAUAGUUUAACAAAAACAUUGCAUUUUCAUUGCAAAAUUAAAAUAAUUUUUGUAAAUU
Molecule: transfer RNA, 63 nt
Filed under: Hypothenemus sp. BMNH 1039837
Lineage: Eukaryota; Metazoa; Arthropoda; Insecta; Coleoptera; Curculionidae
Description: tRNA-Glu
Source: RNAcentral